GAUUAAUCUAGUGGCGGACGGGUGAGUAACGCGUGGGUACCUGCCUUAUACAGGGGGAUAACAGUCAGAAAUGACUGCUAAUACCGCAUAAGGCUGCAUGGCAAAAACUCCGGUGGUAUAAGAUGGACCCGCGUUGGAUUAGCUAGUUGGUGGGUAACGGCCCACCAAGGCGACGAUCCAUAGCCGGCCUGAGAGGGUGAACGGCCACAUUGGGACUGAGACACGGCCCAGACUCCUACGGGAGGCAGCAGUGGGGAAUAUUGCACAAUGGGGGAAACCCUGAUGCAGCGACGCCGCGUGAAGGAAGAAGUAUCUCGGUAUGUAAACUUCUAUCAGCAGGGAAGAUAGUGACGGUACCUGACUAAGAAGCCCCGGCUAACUACGUGCCAGCAGCCGCGGUAAUACGUAGGGGGCAAGCGUUAUCCGGAUUUACUGGGUGUAAAGGGAGCGUAGACGGUGUGGCAAGUCUGAUGUGAAAGGCAUGGGCUCAACCUGUGGACUGCAUUGGAAACUGUCAUACUUGAGUGCCGGAGGGGUAAGCGGAAUUCCUAGUGUAGCGGUGAAAUGCGUAGAUAUUAGGAGGAACACCAGUGGCGAAGGCGGCUUACUGGACGGUAACUGACGUUGAGGCUCGAAAGCGUGAGGAGCAAACAGGAUUAGAUACCCUGGUAGUCCACGCCGUAGACGGUGAAUACUAGGUGUCGGGGAA
Molecule: ribosomal RNA, 709 nt
Filed under: uncultured bacterium
Lineage: Bacteria
Description: bacterial SSU rRNA
Rfam family: Bacterial small subunit ribosomal RNA
Source: RNAcentral